Molecule: long non-coding RNA, 1211 nt
Organism: Bos taurus (domestic cattle)
Lineage: Eukaryota; Metazoa; Chordata; Mammalia; Artiodactyla; Bovidae
Source: Ensembl
GCUCUGAUAGCUGUGCUGCCAUUUGCCUCUUCCCAGGUGUGGAUGGUGGUCCACCUUCGGCAAGGUGAGAAAACCUCCAGUCUGUCAGUGCCCGGGCUCUGCAGCCGCUUGUUUUAGAUGCUAAAUUUCCAAGAGCCAAUUUUUAGCAACUCCAAGAGGCAGACACCUGAAGCAGGGUUUGGUCAAGUCACAAACUGCUGCCAGGCUUGGUUGUCAACUUCACUAACAUGCAGAGUGACAAAAGUUAUCCCCUCUUCUUUUUACCAUCACCACAUACCAUGGAAGCCUCAUUCAAUACUUUGAAAUUAAAUAGUAUCCAGGGCUCCUAGAAACUGACUUUGAGGAGCGAGGUGGUCCUCAGGACUGCGUUCCAUCUUCAGUUUUAAGAAAGUCUCUGAACAAGGAGACCUCAGUCGAGUGCGCAUGUAGGGAAUGCCUUUCCUUUCUCAGCAGUGUCUUUUCAGAACUUUACAAAUGCUGUUUGUUUGGACUGUGGGUUUUCUCCUGGCUUCAGAAAAAAAAAAAAAAACUGAACAUGUGAAACUAAUGAAUUCAGCCUGCACUCCCACUUGGAAGCCGCUAUACAGAUGGAGUUUCAUUAACUGUUUGUAUCAGUAACUGCUCCAGAGAAACAAUUCCUGCUCACAUGGAUAAUUAACAGAGCACUGAACGGGACAAGACCACCUCUUACUGUAACUACCUGGCCCUUGCUUUGCUAAACCAUCAGGGUUCAUUCACCCUUCCUGUCUGUGCUUGCCCAAAGCUCAUCUUUCUAUGGGGUCACUGACCGCUUCCACACAACUGCUGCAGCCCACCACCGGCUCUUGCCAAUAUUCCUGGAGUGAUUCGGCUUGGGUCUACACAGAAGAGAAAUCACCCUGUACUUGGGACCCUCAAUAAUGCUAUAGGAGGCAGCGUUCCUCUCCACCUCAAAGACAUACCCUAGCCCGGUGCCUGGCAGACCCUCUCUUUGAUAAUAAUGGCUUUAUCCAUCUUUUAUUAUGAGGCAAGUUUUAACUCUUCAUUUUGGGUUCAAAUUCUCAUGUAAGGUCAUUACACUCGAGCUUUUAAGAUUCUCCCCCUCAGCCCUGCAAAUUCAGGUAGAAAGAUAUUUCAGUUCUUGUCUGCCUUAACCAGGUGUGCAAUGUUAGCAGGGCUGUGCUUUCUCACAGCUGUUGCUUUUUAUCCAAGAAGUGGCUGUAUUUCAGAGG